Long non-coding RNA from Pongo pygmaeus (Bornean orangutan), 772 nucleotides. RefSeq lists it as uncharacterized. The transcript has 4 exons. The record is from RefSeq and is a predicted model, not a curated record. Lineage: Eukaryota; Metazoa; Chordata; Mammalia; Primates; Hominidae.
GAGGGCAGGGCGCAGUCGCUGCGCCCUGGGCGCAGGGGCAUCGCUCCGGGGAGUGUCGCCCGCCCCUGCUCUCACCGGUCUUUCGCUUUGCGCUUAGGGCGACGACCUGAAGUCGACCCCCCAAAUCCGCCCUAGCCCCCUGGCUGGCUCGCACAUGCUCAGAACGCUGGCUCCUGCCCCGCUGGGGUUUCAGGGCUCUCAGUCCUCUUCCCGUGCGCCCGGAGGCGGUGGGUCAGCAGCGCUGUGCUAGCAGGAAGGUCUGUGAUGUUUGCAAUCAAGCCAUUAUGAAGUCAAGAAUGGAGGUUCCAUUUUUAAACAACCCAGAGGGGGUAGAUCUUGACUGACAUCUCAUCUGGGGUCACCUGGUCUUCAACUGAGAGAUCUUUUGGUUUGCCACAGAUGCCCCUUGCAGUUAUGUAAAGGAACAUGCUCUUUUGCCUGCAGCCAUGGAAGACAUGCCUUUGCUCCACCUUUACCUUCUGCCACGAUUAUGAGGCCUCCCCAGCCACAUGAAAUGUGAUCUUGGAAACCGUGUAUUGAAGGUGGUGAAGCCACAGAUGGAAGGCACCUGGAUCCAGAUUUAAAAGAGCUUCCUGCCAAUCAGGAACACCCUUUUUGAGCUUUGAGGAUGUGUUUUAGUUCUCAUAUUCCUGCAUAACAAACUACUCCAAAUUUAGUGGAUUAAAACAACAAUUUAUUAUAAUCCCUAUAAGUUCUGUGGAUUGACUGGGUUUAGCUAGGUGGAUCUCACUUGGGGUGACUCAUAUGAUUG